UACGUAGGGUGCGAGCGUUGUCCGGAAUUAUUGGGCGUAAAGAGCUUGUAGGUGGUUUGUCGCGUCUGCUGUGAAAAUCCGAGGCUCAACCUCGGACUUGCAGUGGGUACGGGCAGACUAGAGUGUGGUAGGGGAGACUGGAAUUCCUGGUGUAGCAGUGAAAUGCGUAGAUAUCAGGAGGAAUACCGAUGGCGAAGGCAGGUCUCUGGGCUAGAACUGACGCUCAUGCACGAAAGCGUGGGGAGCGAACAGG
RNAcentral lists this ribosomal RNA (253 nucleotides) under uncultured bacterium. Its description in RNAcentral is "partial 16S ribosomal RNA". It matches the Rfam family "Bacterial small subunit ribosomal RNA", at positions 524 to 776 of the family's 1533-position model. The record is from RNAcentral.